AAGUAAUGUGUUUUUUAUCUUCUUCGCAUGCACAGGUUUUGUGCAUGUGCAGAAGGUCUGCAUUCACAUGUGAUAUGCAUGUGCAAGUGAAGUGAGUGCGCGCGUGUGGCUCGUGCAUUUCCAAGCCAGUAAGGAAGUCAUGCUGGCCACAUGACCACGGAGACGUCUUUGGACAGCGCUGGCUCUUCGGCUUUGAAACGGAGAUGAGCACCGCCUCCUAGAGUCAGGAAUGACUAGCACGCUAUAUGAUUGAUCCAAAUACUCUUAGGAAAGGUGCGGUCCAGGUCUCUUCAAUGAAACAAUCCACUCUGUGGGAUCCAGGAAAUGCAACUUCAAGGAAGUGACCUCUCCUUUAUGGAUUGACCUUUAUCCUGACCUAUAGUUGGCACUGACCCUUCUGGCCUUUAGAAAAGCUAUCAGGAACUGGCUUUUCUCCUAAAAUGUUUGGUCAGGAUAUGUUGGAAUCCCAUACAUGAUGGCAUAUUUUCUGUUCGGACCACCAUUUUGGUAUUUUUAAGUGGUUUCUGCAUUGUAAGGUUGUUUAUUCUGUUUAUUUCUCUAUUGAACUUUUAUUCUUUUUAUUUGGUUCUAUUAAAUUGCUUGUAAGUCACUCAAAAUCACUUUAAUUGAGUUGGAUAACAUAUAAUAUUUUAAAUAAAUAGUUUUUAAAGUACUACUUGAUCCACCAUUUUAAUCCUAUCACUUAAUUGGCUACAUACCACAUGCUAAUAUGUAAGUUUUUAAAACAAUGUUUUGUUUAAAAAAAGCCACACAUAACACCUGAAGUCAAAAGCAACCAAAUCACAUUAUGGCUUAAUACAUAAACAAGGAGAAAACCCUACACCUAUCGGCACUAAAGAUGUUCCAAGGUCAAGUAAUGAAACAUCUCAAAGAAAACCACCAAGCUCAGAGGGCAUCAAAACCCCACAUAAAUCCAGAUCCAUUUCUUCCCGUGUUUCUCCCCUCUAUCUUCCCUUGUUAAAUUUAGCAUCAAAUCUAACAAAGGAUGGUGCUUGAAAAGCAGUUCACUAUUUGAUUUACCUAAAAUCAGUUCUGGAUAUAGCUUGAAAUCAUACUGCAAUCCAAUGCUAUUACAAUAAUGGAGGUUUUGCGUGUGAAUACUUUUGGAAGAGAAUUUCAGCCAGUUUGACUUAUAGCACUCAUGAGUUUGGAAAAUACUGUUGUGAGCCAACAUCUCCUGUGAUUCCAGAUUGGCAUAAGAUGAGAUGGAAGUGUUUAAAAUGAAUAAUAACAGUAAUUAAUAAAAUACAUCUGAAGGAAUUUUUUUGCAGUGUAUAAUGUAAAACAGUUCCAUUCGUAUGCAAUCUACUUUCCCUUUAUAUCACAUUCCAAUGUAAUCUAAAGACAAGGUGGGAUGAAUUGAUUGCAAUGGAUAUAGCAAAUUCUACAUGAUUUUGAGGAAUGUUGUAUAGAUGGGACAUUAUUGAUUUGUUCUUUAUUUCUUUAUUUUGCUUUUGGAUUUGUUUUGGUUUGUAGCCUAUUCAGGGACAAUAUAUAGUCUUGAAUGAAACUUACAUGAGGGAAAGAUGAAAGGAGAAAAUAGACAUAAUAUUUGUAUUAAAUUUACUUUUAUUAUUUUUCUUUUUUUCUGUUUUUCCUUUCAACUUUUAAAAAAUUAUGCAUUUUUUUCUAUGACAAUGUAUUCAUGUCUGUCAUAAUUAUGUAUGUAUUUUAUUCCUUUUUGCUCUAAUUGUUUUAAAACCAAUAAAAAAUUUAAAAAAGAAAAUGAAUGAAUUAUAGGAUAGGAUAGAAUAGAGAGAUUCUAGGCUGUGUCUUUUUUUGAAAAGUAAAUAGAUCAAUAGGUCUGGUUAAAAUAAUAUAUGCCUCCCUUCUAAAACAGCCAAUGAAAUGAAUCGUUUUCCUCAAUAAAUAAGCAAGUAUUUAUUUAAUUUGGUUCUGUUUAACUAAUGUUAGCACUUAUGUGGAGAACUGAUCCCUUUUUAGGUCAUAUUUAUACAAUACUGAAAAUUCAGAUGGUUCACAAACUUAAGUCCAGUUUUGCAUAUUAUAUAUUACCGUACAUAUACAUUUAUUAUGUACAUAUUUUAUGACCAUCAAAGAAUAGAAGUCUAGAAUUCAUUAGGUUAGAAGUUACUUUUUAAAGCAUACUGUAGGCUCAUUUGAAGACUAUGUAAGAACAUGACAAGAUUGCUCUCUCUUUGUGUUGCUUGUUGUGCCUCCUUAAAUUUCACUUUCUCUACUAUUAUCUUGGAAUUUUUUAAGUUCUUGAAAACAUUGUUCUCCUGGGACCUACGACUGGAUUAAAUAGUUUUUAAUUAUUAAAGUGAAUUGUACAGUAUGUUGCAAAAUUCUAUGUUGGAUACCAGGAACAGAUGGCAUUUGAAUAUCAUUACAUAAAUAGAUGGUACAUUUUCUGAAAUCAUCUUUCUGUCUCUGCAUAGGAACCCAAUAAAGCCAUAUAUUUUUUCCAUUUUGAAUUUGCCCUGAAUUAGCAUUAAAAUGUAGGACACAGGGACAUUUCUAUAUAAAGGAGGAGAAGCUGAGCAAAGUCUAAGCUGGAGAAUGGGAGUGGAGAGGUGGUGAUCCAAACCUAUUAUGGGAGAAAAAAAAUGCAUUGUAUAGGAAGAACUCUGAUAAAUCAGAACAAAUGCCAACCUAACCCAGUAUUCUGUGUCCUGCAGAAGCAUUUGGUAAGCAGCAAACGAGAUAAAUACAUCUGUCAUAAGAUUUUUCUAUUCUUAUGCCCAAUUACAGAACAAAUAUACUAUGGCAAUCUUUUUUCCUGCAACAUGUUGCCUUCAACUAGCCCUCAGACCAUUCUUACUGCUGCUUAAGUGAUAUUUUCACUCAUAUUCUGUCAUUGGCUAGGUGUUAUACAUAAUAAAUAAAUACCUGUAUGUAAGAAUGAAAUGCUAUUCAGA
Ahaetulla prasina is the source of this 2903-nucleotide long non-coding RNA. RefSeq lists it as uncharacterized. The transcript has 3 exons. NCBI's taxonomy places the organism in Eukaryota, Metazoa, Chordata, Lepidosauria, Squamata, Colubridae. The record is from RefSeq and is a predicted model, not a curated record.